GACGAACGCUGGCGGCGUGCUUAACACAUGCAAGUCGAACGAAGAGCGAUGGAAGCUUGCUUCUAUCAAUCUUAGUGGCGAACGGGUGAGUAACGCGUAAUCAACCUGCCCUUCAGAGGGGGACAACAGUUGGAAACGACUGCUAAUACCGCAUACGAUUUAAUCUCGGCAUCCAGGAUAGAAGAACGGUCGUCCCUACAUGUAAGCUUUCACUGACGCUGGAGUAUGCGUCUGAUUAGCUAGCUGGAGGGGUAACGGCCCACCCAGGGGAGGAUCGGUAGGCGGUCUGAGAGGAGGAACGGCCACAUUGGGACUGGGACACGGCCCAGACUCCUACGGGGGGCAGCAGUGGGGAAUCUUCCGCAAUGGGCGAAAGGCUGACGGAGCAACGCCGCGUGAGGGAUGACGGCCUUCGGGUUGGAAAGAUCCGUUAAUCGGGACGAAAGGCCUUCUUGCGAAUAGGGAGAAGGAUUGACGGUACCGGAAUAGAAAGCCACGGCUAACUACGUG
Molecule: ribosomal RNA, 510 nt
Filed under: uncultured bacterium
Lineage: Bacteria
Description: partial 16S ribosomal RNA
Rfam family: Bacterial small subunit ribosomal RNA
Source: RNAcentral